CCAACUCAGAAGCUAGGAUAUGCAUAUUAUUAACACAUUCGGAUAGAAAACACUCUGAAUUUUCUAAAACAGUUUGAAUGGUGUCUGUAAGUAUAACAAAACUCAUAUUGCAGGCAAAAACCUGUGAAAAAUAGAUCAAAAAAAAAUGUGAAUUUUGUGACUGUACUAUUUAGUGUCAUUGUUUUAUAGAUACCAUAGUGAGAAAGGAUUCAUUUCGCAACACCUACGGCUUCCACUAGAUGUCAACGAUCUUUAUAAAGUUGUUUGAAGCGUCUAUGAUAAACAGAGAGCAAAUUAGAAUCCAAGGAAGUUGACAUGUCAUCACUUCAUUUUUUUGCGCCUGCGCAUAAAUCUGAGAAACGUGAGUUUGUCAUCAUUUUUUAUCUAGACAUAGGAUAGGUUGUGUGAAAAUAUUACUGAUGUUUAACGUUAAAAAUGGAGCAAAAGAUUAAUGCUAAACAACAUUUGACAUGUUUGAACGAACAUAAAUAGAUUAUUUACUAGGUUUUUUUUUAGCUUUUCGGCGUGAUUUUACCAGCCCCCAACCACGUUUUGUGGGAGCAUAAUGAACGCUAAGUACUUGGUGUUAUUUGGACAUAAAUUAUGAACUUUGUCAAAAGAAACCACAUUUGUUCCGGACCUGGGAUGCCUUCCGGACCUGGGAUGCCUGUCUUCUGAUGGAGAUAAUCAAAGGGGAUCCAAAAUUGGGAGCUCGGGGAAACCACACUCCAAAGGAGAAGCUGGACCCUCCUCAGAUCUGCAGGAAGCGGGCACGGAUGGAUAUCAGAUCUCGAACAUAGUGCUGAGAGAGGUGAGCUUGGACAAUCUAUCAAUAAGUGAUACAAAAAAAUAUAUAAAUAACAAAAGCCCCUGUCAAGGGUAUGCUCAGAGCAAGGUCUUCCUUAAGAGGGCCACAACUGAGGUAACUAGCAGGACUGAGUUGAGUUGAUAAGAGUGUUCUUAAGUGAGGUUUCCUUGGGCAUGAUUGAGAAUUAGCCUGUUGCGGGCAACCAAAAGUCCAGAUCCGUGGUACUGGGUUGAUCACAGUAGGACUGGUGAUGUUAAUGUGUAGAGCGAGAGACUAGAGCGCAGGUGACGCCUUACAAGGGCACCUGGCAUGGUGAAUUUCAAAUGAUAUGUAUGUAGUUGAUUAAAUGUUUUGUUGAUGAAGUAAACAAGUAUGCCCUGGGUCAGUAUUGUUAGUUGUUAUUGUUAUUCCUGGUUAGAUAAUAACCCGUUUUGGGACCACAAGUUAGGCAAUAUUUUGAUAAUGGUAUGGUUUUCCCUGCUCAUAUAGAGAGGGUUUACAAUCUAAAAACAGCGCUAACGAUUUAAUAAAAAAAUGUUUUUGACUGUCUCAUUCCCUAUGUUUGUGUUUUCUGUGAGUGUGUGAGUGAAGGAGCCGGAACCAUGGGAGCACACGGUAGCGAAGGACACGGAAUUCCAGAUCCCCCAAAGGAUGCCCUGAAGGUUAAGGUAGAUAAAUGGGGAAAUAAUAUUCUGGACCAGGUGCAAUUGUGGCAUAGGGAAGGAGGCUUUCUUUUGACAGGGACAGUGAGUGUGAGGAUGUUAGAUGAAGUCAGGGAAAGACUGACAGAGUACGAAGGGACCAAAAAAGGUAAAAAGGAUAAGAUAGAUUGGAUUAAGUUCAGAAAAUGGGAAAGAGGCAGAAAGGCGUACAGAGACAGGACCCAUUUCGAGGAAAGCCCCAACAGAAUAUGGUAGUACAGACUGAGGAAGAAGGGAAAACAGACAAAGAUGAGACCGUGAGAAAGAAGAGGAAGACGAUGAGUGAUUACCCCCCUCCCUAUUUUUCUCCUUCUAAUUUCUACCCAGUGCUGCCUGUGGCUGUCGACCUUCUUUCCCCCGCCUCUGCCUGAUGCCCUAGCUCUGCACUCCACUACGCCUCUUCACCCAACUCUGUUCCUCCCCUCUCGUAUGAAUCUCCCCUAGCAGCAGCGGUGGACCAACUGCUCUCUGAACUGGCCAUGCAUCAACUCCAAAACCAACCAGAAAAGGGUGCUGCUGGAGGAGCCAGAGCAGAAUGUAGGAAGAGCAACAACCUCUUCUCACAAUAACCACCUCUAGCCAGCCCGUUGGAGGAUGAUGACGACAACAGUGAUACAUCCUCUCAGAACGGAGCAUCAGCUCCCUACUCUCUUCCCCUCCGCUUAAGAGCCAUCUGCAAAGGAAGAUAGACCCGCCGACACCCUCACCAUAUGAUCUAGCACCAGAUAUGUAUCAACAGUACCCUCUGAUUGCAUGUCCAAACCCUCAGCCAUGACCAGCUGCAGGCCACACUGAUUUGGCUGCCUGGCAACCAAUCAUAUACCCAGAGGUCAUGGAGACAUGAUGAAAUUAAAGACAUUGUUGAGGAUUUGCCUGACCCCAGCAAAGAUGCGGUAAAGUUUGCAGCAGAAAUGAGGGUUCUGUCAGGACAGCACCAGCCAUCUGCAGCUGAGAUAGCCCAUAUCUGUAAGAAGAAACUAGGGCUUAGGUGGGCUGAUGUAGAAGGGGACUUUGAUUAUAAUCAGCUCUGGGAUGGGAAUGGAACUGUAUCCCGUCAAGACUGACUGGACAUCCAUCAGAGAAUGCACCAUCAAGAAAGAUGAGAGCCUGGAAGCGUAUUGAAGGAGACUGGAAACCUGUUUCAGGCUGCAAAGCGGCAUCAGACCAAAUUACCUGGCAUAUGGAAAUCUGUUGUAGGACGCCCUGAUGAGGGGCCUGACACCAGACUUGGAGAAAGCGGUGAGAACCACCUGUAUCAGUUGGGAAACUGAACCCCUGUCCACUGUGGUACAACAUUGCAAACAUGCUGAGCGACAACAAUGUGCUCAGAAGGAAGAAAAUACAAAAGAAGAAAGAGUGAAGACUGAAAUUGCAUUCUACCAAGACCAGGUGCCUGCUGGAGUGGGAGGUGGUGGAGGUGGAAGAAAACCCAAACUUGGAAGUUGCUUCACCUAUGGCAAGCCAGGCCAUUUCGGUGCACAAUGCAAUCAAGCCCAGCAGCUGAUGGGAAGAGGCAGGGGCAGACCAAGAGGCAGAGGAGCCCCAAGGGGGGCCCCUCGAGGAGGAGGUCCACCAGGAGGACAAGGAUUGUGGUAUCCCCCUGCUCAACAGCCAUGGCAGCCGCCACCCAACCAAUGGCCAGGGCCACCCCCACAUGGGGGCCCUCCGCCACCGUGGGGACCACAAGGGAGCCCUCAAGGCAGAGGCCAAUCUGGGCAAGGGCAGAUGGGCCCGCCUGCACAGACGACCCUGUACAAUCCAGGACAAGAAAAGGAGGAAGAAUAUUGACAUGGAGAGACAGACACAGAUGAGGUAGAAUCGUCAGGGCAACCAGUGCAUUUGUUUUUAAAGAGCCAUACCCUUCCUCGAAUUGAGCCAACAGUAGAGGCUUGCGUCAAUGGAGGAAUGAAGCAUUAUUUCAAUGAGCUGUAAAGGUACCAACACAUUUGAGCACGUCUGUAUGAUUCUGGGAGGAUGAAGGGAGCUGAGACACCAGGCACCCCUCCAGAGCACAAUAUCCACUCAGUAAAGAGGCCAUUGCAGGGUGAAAGCAGCUUUGCCUCAGCCCCUGGUGGGAAUCCUACAUAAGCUUCAACCUGGUGACUGGGUUGUGGUCAAGGACCUGAGGAGGAAGCAUUGGACCCAGCAGAAGUGGAAUGGCCCAUUCCAGGUGUUGCUGAUAAACCCCACCACUGUUCGAGUGGCUGAGAGAUCGACAUGAGUACACUCCAGCCACUGCAGGAAGGUCCCAUAUGAUCCAGUUUCAGAUGUCCCGGAGGAUGGGUUUCCGCCAGCCAUGACCUAGUUGGCCGUGGGAGAAUCAGGAUGAAGUCAGAGGAAUCCUGGUUGUUGCAUUCUUUGCCAGCCUCUUCAUCUCAAUGACUGUUUGAACCCUGCAGAGAGGGGAAUAGGCGAAAGGGGAGGAUGGCCCAAAUAUCACUGCAGUCCCAAAGCUGGGACUUAAUAACAGCCACUCCAGCUCAAGCCAAUGGCAGGCUCAGGACAUGAGUCCAGUAAACAAUAGCCACACUGAGACCAGAAGAAGCAGGAGCUCGAUGCAUCCACUGGAUGAGCAUCACAGCCAGAAUCAUGAGGAAAACACUUGGUGGUCACUGCUUAAUUAUACAGUAAAAACUGAACUAAUGGUAGAAAACACCUCCUGUCAUGUAUGUAGUCUUUUUCCACGCUCAGCGAUCUCAACAUUCUUACAGUAUUCAGUAGAGGCCAGCAUUAACGACACUCUAUGUGCACUGGAAGUCAUCUUAUCAAAUUAAACUUCAUGGGGUUAACCUUCACAGGGUAGAACUAUGAAGGAAAAAUGCAUUAAUGAUGAUUUGUCAUUGUCAAAAGAUAUGAGGCAGAUUUGAUUGUAAACGUUGGUGUACUAAAAUGAUUUUAGAACCUAGACACCGUGUACUGAAACCUAUACUAAUCCAACCCCGCCAUUGUCACAACCCAAGUAUUAUCUCCAUACCACGAUCUUAUGAAUCCUAUUUGGGAAUGUCAACAUGUGUUAAUUAUAGUCUUCCCAUUAGGAUGUAGCUGGAUAAAUGGAACAUGCAAUUCUAACUGGCCUGUUAAACUUAAUGUGGGGCACACCACCAUUCAAGUAGAAACAGACGAGCGCUGUCCACAUCAAUAUGGCUCAGCCACGUUUAAUGAUCAUUAUUGGAUCUGUGGUAAUAAGGCAUAUCUUUAUUUACCAACAAAUUGGACAGGGUGCUGUGUUUUUGGUAAACUAAACAUCUCCAUUGUUGUAAUGCAUAAAACAAACUCCUCCAUUCCACGCAGAUUAAGACGGAUUAGGAGGAGCAUUUCACAAUUGAAUGACGUUCCAAUUGAGUCACGACGAUCCUCAGAACUUGAAGUUUUGGCAUGGGUUAAUUUCUUGAUAUGGGGCAUCGGAAAAUGCCCAUGACUUAGAACGAUUGGGAUAUCAUUUAGAAACUUUUGUAAAUUUAAACCACUUCAGGAUUUUCGAUAAUGAGACCAGAAUUACAAGCAGCUCGCCUCACGGCUAUACAGAAUAGAUUAGCACUUGAUAUGUUACUAGCACAGGAAGGGGGAGUGUGCCAAAUGAUAGGUGAAUAUUGCUGUACAUUCAUACCCCAGGAUGAGGGUAACUUCACUAUUGUUGUGGAACAUCUGGAAGAGCUCACCGGCGAUCUCACAAAAGAACACCAACCAGACAACAAUUGGAAUCCGUUUGGAUGGGUUCAAUCAUUAUUUGGUGUUAUGGAAACAACAGUUUUCCAUUGGCUCAUUUAUGGCCAAUUAAUAUUUUUUGCUGUGCUAUUUCUUAUUGUCUAUGUUAAAAAUCUUUGUUGUAAAGUGCUGGAUACUGCCCUCACUAUGCCAUUGCUUGAUGUUCAUGCUGACUCUGAGGAUGAUGAGAAUAAUGAUGAUGUAUCUAUAAAUGAUCGAAUGCCUGAUAUUCCAGACCUAUUUCCCAUUCCUGAUUACAUACAGUGGGGAGAACAAGUAUUUGAUACACUGCCAAUUUUGCAGGUUUUCCUACUUACAAAGCAUGUAGAGGUCUGUAAUUUUUAUCAUAGGUACACUUCAACAGUGAGAGACAGAAUCUAAAACAAAAAUCCAGAAAAUCACAUUGUAUGAUUUUUAAGUAAUUAAUUUGCAUUUUAUUGCAUGACAUAAGUAUUUGAUACAUCAGAAAAGCAGAACUUAAUAUUUGGUACAGAAACCUUUGUUUGCAAUUACAGAGAUCAUACGUUUCCUGUAGUUCUUGACCAGGUUUGCACACACUGCAGCAGGGAUUUUGGCCCACUCCUCCAUACAGACCUUCUCCAAAUCCUUCAGGUUUUGGGGCUGUCGCUGGGCAAUACGGACUUUCAGCUCCCUCCAAAGAUUUUCCAUUGGGUUCAGGUCUGGAGACUGGCUAGGCCACUCCAGGACCUUGAGAUGCUUCUUACGGAGCCACUCCUGGCUGUGUGUUUCGGGUCGUUGUCAUGCUGGAAGACCCAGCCACGACCCAUCUUCAAUGCUCUUACUGAGGGAAGGAGGUUGUUGGCCAAGAUCUCGCGAUACAUGGCCCCAUCCAUCCUCCCCUCAAUACGGUGCAGUCGUCCUGUCCCCUUUGCAGAAAAGCAUCCCCAAAGAAUGAUGUUUCCACCUCCAUGCUUCACGGAUGGGAUGGUGUUCUUGGGGUUGUACUCAUCCUUCUUCUUCCUCCAAACACGGCGAGUGGAGUUUAGACCAAAAACCUAUUUUUUUGUCUCAUCAGACCACAUGACUUUCUCCCAUUCCUCCUUUGGAUCAUCCAGAUGGUCAUUGGCAAACUUCAGACGGGCCUGGACAUGCGCUGGCUUGAGCAGGGGGACCUUGCGUGCGCUGCAGGAUUUUAAUCCGUGAUGGCGUAGUGUGUUACUAAUGGUUUUCUUUGAGACUGUGGUCCCAGCUCUCUUCAGGUCAUUGAACAGGUCCUGCCGUGUAGUUCUGGGCUGAUCCCUCACCUUCCUCAUGAUCAUUGAUGCCCCCCGAGGUGAGAUCUUGCAUGGAGCCCCAGACUGAGGGUGAUUGACCAUCAUUUUGAACUUCUUCCAUUUUCUAAUAAUUGCGCCAACAGUUGUUGCCUUCUCACCAAGCUGCUUGCCUAUUGUCCUGUAGCCCAUCCCAGCCUUGUGCAGGUCUACAAUUUGAUCCCUGAUGUCCUUACACAGCUCUCUGGUCUUGGCCAUUGUGGAGAGGUUGGAGUCUGUUUGAUUGAGUGUGUGGACAGGUGUCUUUUAUACAGGUAACGAGUUCAAACAGGUGCAGUUAAUACAGGUAAUGAGUGGAGAACAGGAGGGCUUCUUAAAGAAAAACGAACAGGUCUGUGAGAGCCGGAAUUCUUACUGGUUGGUAGGUGAUCAAAUACUUAUGUCAUGCAAUAAAAUGCAAAUUAAUUACUUAAAAAUCAUACAAUGUGAUUUUCUGGAUUUUUGUUUUAGAUUCCGUCUCUCACAGUUGAAGUGUACCUAUGAUAAAAAAAUUACAGACCUCUACAUGCUUUGUAAGUAGGAAAACCUGCAAAAUCGGCAGUGUAUCAAAUACUUGUUCUCCCCACUGUAUCUGAUGAUGAGGACCCUAACCCUGAUCUUAGAGCUAAGGGUAUUGAACUAAUGGUCCACUCAGUUUGUAGGACAUAUCCCAAGAAAGGUAGAUGUUCUUGGUGUUAAAAAUCAAUGAAUGGUAAGGAUGGACAUUUUCAUAAUUCUGACCCCUAUCUUUGUGCGUAGUGCCAGCGUGAUGAUUAUCCUAUUGCUGUAAUGAAACUUUUGUGUGAUUGAAUUUUUGUUUCGUUUUCUGUUCCCGAUUGACUGUUUUUGGAUAAGAAAGGUCUGAAACUCAGCAACCCAAAGGAAGGGUUUUUACAAUGGAUGAAAUGUCAGGCACCAGAAAUAUGUACUUUGUUUAAAAUGUAUAUGUUUACCAAUAAUCAUGUAAUGCUUGUACCCUUACAUUUUUCUGUAAGAAACUUAGUUUCUUGAGAAGGAAAUGUGACAGAAAAAUUGUAUUUACCUAAUUUGUUGGAUAUUUAACAAGUAUUUACUUACCAAACAGUAAAAUAUUUCUGUCCUGCUAAUUCUGUGUUAAAGUGAUGGUUUCCACUUUAACUUCCUAUAGUUACUCUGGGUGUCUGGUUCAGGAAAUGGGUUUUGCUAGAGAUAGCUUGAGCUGACAAUGACUUGGUGAUAAAAACCUAAAAGCUGGCAUUUCAUAGACAAGAUGUGGUGUGUGACCCGAGAUAGAGAGAGCCUGGAAGAGCUUAGAACAAUGCCUCAUCUUCCUGGCAUCUUGGAAACUUAGCCGGAUUGAAAGUAAAACAAGAUCCCGUGCAGAUGAACCAAGUUGGCUUAUGGGAAGGGUAUAAAUGAAUGACUAAGCAUUUUUUAGGGCCUAUGUAAGAUCUCUGCUUUUUCAUUAUCAGUUAACCUGUUUAGGAUAGGGGGCAGUAUUUUCAUGGCCGGAUAAAAAAACGUACCCGAUUUAAUCUGGUUAUUACUCCUGCCCAGAAACUAGAAUAUGCAUAUAAUUAUUUUUAUUUGGAU
Molecule: long non-coding RNA, 8057 nt
Filed under: Salmo salar (Atlantic salmon)
Lineage: Eukaryota; Metazoa; Chordata; Actinopteri; Salmoniformes; Salmonidae
Description: lncRNA (ENSSSAG00000107092.1)
Source: RNAcentral